GGUGCAAAGAUUAAUUGCUGGAUCGCCAGAAGGGCAGCUUGAUAAUAACCUUUAUCUAGCCGAACCUGCAUCUUCUACAAAGAAAUUGCCUUCAGAAUCCCCCACAAAGAAAUUGCCUUCAGAAAGUGUUCAACAACUACCAUCCCAGAUUGCUGAUCCAAAAAAUGGUUCUCAGAAGCAAGACUCUAACAAUGAAGGUGCAGUCAAGGAUGCAGUUGGGAACCCUCCUUUU
RNAcentral lists this long non-coding RNA (232 nucleotides) under Vitis vinifera (wine grape). Its description in RNAcentral is "long non-coding RNA (VVIN_LNC002741)". The record is from RNAcentral. Lineage: Eukaryota; Viridiplantae; Streptophyta; Magnoliopsida; Vitales; Vitaceae.